UACAGGGUGCUCAGAAAGCAUGCGUCCCUUAGAGUCCCACGGAAAGGUUCUCAGUGCGCUCUCUAUCAAGUGCUAUGAGUCUUGAUAAAUUGGAGAAGAGCCCAAGAGAAAUUUUUCAUCCCUUGAUAUAAAAGGGAUCGGUGAAUUUUAACUUUGGAGUCCUCUGUGCUAAGGAUGCUCAGCUUACCGAUGAUGAAAUGUUCAGUAAUGUAUUUGCUGCAGCUCUGCUUACCCAAGCUUUGGGUUCCUUCUGUCCCACUGGGAGUUGCCCAAUUUGGUUGCAUCUGGUGAAAUUCACCCUGAGACCUUACAGAACCAGCUCCAACUACGUGAGAGCCAUUUGCAGUUCUCUCCAGACACCUGGAGAAUGGGCGACGUUUCUGAGGAUCCAGCGAGCGUGCUUCUGUCAAAACUCAGUCUGUGAAAUUUCUGGGGAAAACCCUUCUGUGUCCUGAAGGGUUCAAACUCUGGUGAGGAUCCAGUUAUCAGGUGCUCACCUGGAUGGUUCCAGCUCCCAAAGGUAACACUUGUACUCUUGCCCUGUAGUUUACAUCUAUUGUAUUUUUGUUAUUUUGCAAGAUUUUUUGUCUUUGCAAAAUAUUGUGCAUUUCACUCUUUGGGCACUCUCAGAUGGUUCUUUGGUGCAGCACCACCCCAUGGGACACUUGGCUGCUGUCCUGAAGGGGAUGGUCGCUAGAAUUGUGAAUCCUGGAGUGUUUAUAAGUCUUCUGUCCCCAGGGAGGUGUCAUGCUUUGUUUACUUUUGUUCUGUUG
This is a long non-coding RNA of Melospiza georgiana, 773 nucleotides long. RefSeq lists it as uncharacterized. NCBI's taxonomy places the organism in Eukaryota, Metazoa, Chordata, Aves, Passeriformes, Passerellidae. The record is from RefSeq and is a predicted model, not a curated record. The transcript has 4 exons.